RNAcentral lists this transfer RNA (74 nucleotides) under Planctomycetota bacterium. RNAcentral describes it as "tRNA-Val". It matches the Rfam family "tRNA". Rfam says of the family: Transfer RNA (tRNA) molecules are approximately 80 nucleotides in length. Their secondary structure includes four short double-helical elements and three loops (D, anti-codon, and T loops). Lineage: Bacteria; Pseudomonadati; Planctomycetota. The record is from RNAcentral.
GGGCGUAUAGCUCAGUUGGCUAGAGCGCCACGUUGACAUCGUGGAGGUCACUGGUUCAAGUCCAGUUACGCCCA